RNAcentral lists this transfer RNA (64 nucleotides) under Carapus bermudensis. Its description in RNAcentral is "tRNA-Cys". The record is from RNAcentral. Lineage: Eukaryota; Metazoa; Chordata; Actinopteri; Ophidiiformes; Carapidae.
GGGCCUGAGGUGUUACAUAACGGAUUGCAAACCCGGAGAAGUGGGCUAACGCCCACCAGGCCUU